GACGAACGCUGGCGGCGUGCUUAACACAUGCAAGUCGAACGGAAAGGCCCUGCUUGCAGGGUACUCGAGUGGCGAACGGGUGAGUAACACGUGGGUGAUCUGCCCUGCACUUCGGGAUAAGCCUGGGAAACUGGGUCUAAUACCGGAUAGGAGCCAUUUUUAGUGUGAUGGUUGGAAAGUUUUUUCGGUGUAGGAUGAGCUCGCGGCCUAUCAGCUUGUUGGUGGGGUAAUGGCCUACCAAGGCGGCGACGGGUAGCCGGCCUGAGAGGGUGGACGGCCACAUUGGGACUGAGAUACGGCCCAGACUCCUACGGGAGGCAGCGGUGGGGAAUAUUGCACAAUGGGCGCAAGCCUGAUGCAGCGACGCCGCGGGGGGGAUGACGGCCUUCGGGUUGUAAACUCCUUUCGCUAGGGACGAAGCUUUUUGUGACGGUACCUAGAUAAGAAGCACCGGCUAACUACGUG
Molecule: ribosomal RNA, 465 nt
Filed under: uncultured bacterium
Lineage: Bacteria
Description: partial 16S ribosomal RNA
Rfam family: Bacterial small subunit ribosomal RNA
Source: RNAcentral